RNAcentral lists this unclassified non-coding RNA (400 nucleotides) under uncultured bacterium. RNAcentral describes it as "contains 16S-23S intergenic spacer region". The record is from RNAcentral.
GUCGCAGCCGCUCCACCGUUCGGCGAUCGCUAUGCACGACGCUCUCCCCAUCGAGCCGCACAUCUCCGAAAUCGGGGAUGAUCAGACCUAUGGUGGUCUUCAGCAGCACGCUCUUCCCCGUCCCCGAGUGGCCCACAAUCGACAUCGUCUCACCACUCUGGACGACGAGAUUCACCCCCGCCAACACGGGAGCGUCAAACGAUUUGUAAAUGUUUAUGUAUUCGACCAUGGGUCGGGUAUGGUGUCGAGCUUCGGGCGUUGGCGGUUGGGUUAUCCGUUAUCCGUUAUCCGUUAUCCGUUAUCCGUUAUCCGUUAUCCGUUAUCCGUUAUCCGUUAUCCGUUAUCCGUUAUCCGUUAUCCGUUAUCCGUUACUGCUGUCAGUUUGAGCUUCGAUCGCCGA